GCGAAAGCAGGUCAUAGUGAUCCGGUGGUUCUGAAUGGAAGGGCCAUCGCUCAACGGAUAAAAGGUACUCCGGGGAUAACAGGCUGAUACCGCCCAAGAGUUCAUAUCGACGGCGGUGUUUGGCACCUCGAUGUCGGCUCAUCACAUCCUGGGGCUGAAGUAGGUCCCAAGGGUAUGGCUGUUCGCCAUUUAAAGUGGUACGCGAGCUGGGUUUAGAACGUCGUGAGACAGUUCGGUCCCUAUCUGCCGUGGGCGCUGGAGAACUGAGGGGGGCUGCUCCUAGUACGAGAGGACCGGAGUGGACGCAUCACUGGUGUUCGGGUUGUCAUGCCAAUGGCACUGCCCGGUAGCUAAAUGCGGAAGAGAUAAGUGCUGAAAGCAUCUAAGCACGAAACUUGCCCCGAGAUGAGUUCUCCCUGACUCCUUGAGAGUCCUGAAGGAACGUUGAAGACGACGACGUUGAUAGGCCGGAUGUGUAAGCGCAGCGAUGCGUUGAGCUAACCGGUACUAAUGAACCGUGAGGCUUAACCUUACAACGCCGAAGCUGUU
Molecule: ribosomal RNA, 549 nt
Filed under: Escherichia coli
Lineage: Bacteria; Pseudomonadati; Pseudomonadota; Gammaproteobacteria; Enterobacterales; Enterobacteriaceae
Description: partial 23S ribosomal RNA
Rfam family: Bacterial large subunit ribosomal RNA
Source: RNAcentral